GGAUUAGGCAUGCAAGUCGACCGAGGGAAUAUUCUUCGGAAUAUCAAUCGAGUGGCGAAAGGGUGAGUAAUGCAUAGAUGACAUACCUCUAGGAUAAGAAUAGCUUUGUGAAAACGGAGAUAAUGCUUAAUAAUUACGAAGUAAAAUCAAUUUUCUUCGUCAAAGGGGGGGCAGCAAUGCCUCUUGCCUAGAGAGUGGUUUAUGUCCUAUCAGCUAGUUGGUGGGGUAAUGGCCUACCAAGGCGAAGACGGGUAGCCGGCCUUAGAGGGUGGUCGGCCACACUGGGACUGAGACACUGCCCAGACUCCUACGGGAGGCUGCAGUCGAGAAUACUUUCGCAAUACCCGAAAGG
This 352-nucleotide ribosomal RNA is filed under the name uncultured Planctomycetota bacterium. RNAcentral's name for it is "bacterial SSU rRNA". It matches the Rfam family "Bacterial small subunit ribosomal RNA", at positions 46 to 382 of the family's 1533-position model. The record is from RNAcentral. Lineage: Bacteria; Pseudomonadati; Planctomycetota.